CCUACGGGGGGCUGCAGUGGGGAAUAUUGGACAAUGGGGGGAACCCUGAUCCAGCCAUGCCGCGUGUGUGAAGAAGGCCCUCGGGUUGUAAAGCACUUUCAGUGAGGAAGAACGCCUGGUGGUUAAUACCCAGCAGGAAAGACAUCACUCACAGAAGAAGCACCGGCUAACUCCGUGCCAGCAGCCGCGGUAAUACGGAGGGUGCGAGCGUUAAUCGGAAUUACUGGGCGUAAAGCGCGCGUAGGUGGCUUGAUAAGCCGGUUGUGAAAGCCCCGGGCUCAACCUGGGAACGGCAUCCGGAACUGUCAAGCUAGAGUGCAGGAGAGGAAGGUAGAAUUCCCUGUGUAGCGGUGAAAUGCGUAGAGAUCGGGAGGAAUACCAGUGGCGAAGGCGGCCUUCUGGACUGACACUGACCCUGAGGUGCGAAAGCGUGGGUAGCAAACAGGAUUAGAUACCCCGGUAGUC
RNAcentral lists this ribosomal RNA (465 nucleotides) under Vreelandella stevensii. RNAcentral's name for it is "partial 16S ribosomal RNA". It matches the Rfam family "Bacterial small subunit ribosomal RNA", at positions 338 to 795 of the family's 1533-position model. Lineage: Bacteria; Pseudomonadati; Pseudomonadota; Gammaproteobacteria; Oceanospirillales; Halomonadaceae. The record is from RNAcentral.